This 301-nucleotide ribosomal RNA is filed under the name uncultured bacterium. Its description in RNAcentral is "partial 16S ribosomal RNA". It matches the Rfam family "Bacterial small subunit ribosomal RNA", at positions 509 to 807 of the family's 1533-position model. The record is from RNAcentral.
CAGUCGCCACGGUAAAACGGAGGGUGCAAGCGUUAAUCGGAAUUACUGGGCGUAAAGCGUGCGUAGGCGGUUUCUUAAGUCUGCUGUGAAAUCCCCGGGCUCAACCUGGGAAUGGCAGUGGAUACUGGGAAGCUAGAGUGUGUCAGAGGAUGGUGGAAUUCCCGGUGUAGCGGUGAAAUGCGUAGAGAUCGGGAGGAACAUCAGUGGCGAAGGCGGCCAUCUGGGACAACACUGACGCUGAGGCACGAAAGCGUGGGGAGCAAACAGGAUUAGAUACCCGAGUAGUCCCUGUCUCUUAUAC